This is a long non-coding RNA of Culex pipiens pallens (northern house mosquito), 794 nucleotides long. RefSeq lists it as uncharacterized. The record is from RefSeq and is a predicted model, not a curated record. The transcript is spliced from 4 exons. Lineage: Eukaryota; Metazoa; Arthropoda; Insecta; Diptera; Culicidae.
UUAGUAAUUUUAUUAUAGUCAUUUAUACCUAAUUUCCGUUUUGCGUGCAUGAUUGACCGAGCUGUCAAACUUUUCCUCUUGCGCGUGUUCAAUCAUGCUUCGUGUUGGCUGCAGUUCGGUAUCGGAAUUUUCCGCAUCAAAUCGCGUGUGUCCGUGUUUUUGUCACAUCCGGCGCUGUCUCAAGAAGGUGAACGAGUUCUGGGUGUUGGAUGGACAAAUCCUAACCGAAUCGGAUCGAAUGUUGAACAAGGAUAACCAGGCUCAGCGCCUGUUGCCGUCGAGGGUUCGUUCCGGAUGGUGAUCACCAACACGAAACGCAGCUCGUUUUCUUCAAGGACCAUUGAAAAGCGUGGACGUGCUGGGAUCGAGUGGCGGGGAGGCCAUCCCUGCAAAAGUCUUCUCGUUCUCGUAAAUACCGAAUCUGGCCUCGUGACUGUCGAGAACCUGAAGCAUGAUUAAAGUUCCACCUGCGACAUGUAUUAAAUCUUCCGGAAGCAGCACGUUGAGGCUGCUAGGCGGACUUUUUGAGGCAAAAAUCGUAGCAUCAAACAAACCAGUAGAUCAAUCCGGAAACCGGAGAAGGGACCGUUGGUUAGUACGGACGCACCAUUCGCUCGGAGAGAACCAAGAUCCGGACCGGCUUCAGCUGAUCGAGAGCUUGAAAUUAAAUCGCGAAAGAAAACGUCAAGAAGAGCUCAUCGUUUUUGUGAAAACAAUCAAAAGAAGAAAUCAAUCUGCAUAAAUAUUUGAUUAUUUAAAAUACUAAAAUAACCAUAAAAAUACAUUAAAACGAA